Molecule: ribosomal RNA, 238 nt
Filed under: uncultured bacterium
Lineage: Bacteria
Description: partial 16S ribosomal RNA
Rfam family: Bacterial small subunit ribosomal RNA
Source: RNAcentral
GUAAGCUAAUNUCUUAAAGCCGUUCUCAGUUCGGACUGUAGGCUGCAACUCGCCUACACGAAGUCGGAAUCGCUAGUAAUCGCGGAUCAGCAUGCCGCGGUGAAUACGUUCCCGGGCCUUGUACACACCGCCCGUCACACCAUGGGAGUCGGAAAUGCCCGAAGUCUGUGACCCAACCGCGAGGAGGGAGCAGCCGAAGGCAGGUCGGAUGACUGGGGUGAAGUCGUAACAAGGUACC